AUCGCUUCUCGGCCUUUUGGCUAAGAUCAAGUGUAGUAUGUGGCCUGCCAAGCAAAGAAAUAAACACAUUUGAACAGCAGCUCAUUCACUGACUAAGGUUUUAAUAAAUUUCUUCAUUCUGGGCUUUAUUUUCUCAGAGAACUAGAGUAGUAAGUAAUAUGUGUUAAAACACUUCUAAACUAUAAAACUAAAUAAA
Molecule: small nuclear RNA, 196 nt
Organism: Sorex araneus (European shrew)
Lineage: Eukaryota; Metazoa; Chordata; Mammalia; Eulipotyphla; Soricidae
Product: U2 spliceosomal RNA
Exons: 1
Source: RefSeq, a predicted model, not a curated record